Non-coding RNA from Nicotiana tabacum (common tobacco), 4522 nucleotides. The record is from RefSeq and is a predicted model, not a curated record. NCBI's taxonomy places the organism in Eukaryota, Viridiplantae, Streptophyta, Magnoliopsida, Solanales, Solanaceae.
UUCCAGUUUGAAGAGCUAGCAGGGAACACUAGACUGGAUAAAUGGCAAGUACAUAGUACUCUGCUUCUUUAUGAUGAUAAUUUCCUUUGUCCAAUACCCCAUGAGCACAGCCCUCACUUUCCUCCACUCUCUCUCCUCCUCCCCUUUCCACCACCGUCACCGCCCCCGCCUCUUAUCCACCUCAUCACCCUUUUCCCUUCCCCUAAAACCCCUUUCAUUUUCUCCCUUAUCCACUUUACCCCAACAAGUUCUGUUUUCAUCCCAUGAAAUCCAAGGCAAUAACAAUUUGGACAUUUCUUCAUCUGGGUUUCCUGAAAGUUUCAAUUUUGACGAGUCUUUUGAUUCUACUGAGCUGAAAAAGUUCGAAACACCGGCCGUUGAAGUUAGUGAACUAGAGGACAUUCCUGAUCAAUGGCGUAGGUCAAGAUUAGCUUGGCUUUGUAAGGAACUUCCUGCACAUAAAACACCUACUAUGGUUCGGAUUCUUAAUGCACAGAGGAAAUGGCUUAAACAAGAAGAUGCUACUUACAUUGCUGUUCAUUGUAUGCGUAUUCGUGAAAAUGAAGCUGCUUUUCGGGUUUACAAAUGGAUGAUGCAGCAACAUUGGUUUCGAUUUGAUUUUGCUCUAGCUACAAAGCUAGCAGAUUACUUGGGUAAGGAACGAAAGCACUUGAAGUGCCGGGAGAUUUUUGAUGACAUUAUUAACCAGGGACGAGUGCCGUCUGAAUCUACAUUCCAUAUUCUCAUCAUUGCCUAUCUUAGUUCACCUGGCCCAUCAGAGUUAGAUGAAGCGUGUAACAUCUACAAUCGCAUGGUGCACUUGGGAGGUCAUAAGCCUCGGCUUAACUUACACAAUUCUCUGUUUAAAGCUCUUUUGGGGAAGAAACCAGGCUCCAGUAAACACUUCCUGAAACAGGCAGAAUUUAUAUAUCAGAAUUUAACUUCCUCGGGAUUGGAUAUACACAAAGAUAUUUUUGGCGGUCUUAUAUGGCUUCACAGUUAUCAGGAUGUGGUGGAUAUGGAAAGAAUUGCUGUGCUAAGAGCAGAGAUGCGAUCAAGAGGAAUUCAAGAGAGCAAAGAGGUACUCCUGUCAGUCUUAAGAGCUUGCUCAAAGGAUGGGGACCUGGAGGAAGCCGAACGAACUUGGUCAAAACUCCUCUCCGAUGAUCGUAGUCCUCCUUCACAAGCUUUUGUAUAUAAAAUGGAAGUCUAUGCAAAGAACGGAGAGCCUAUGAAAUCUUUGGAAGUAUUUAGGAGGAUGCAGAAACAACUGAGUUCCACCUCCGUUGCAGCAUACUAUAAGAUAAUAAAGGUGUUGUCUAAAUCUCAAAGACUAGAUCUUGCAGAGUCUAUCAUGUCCGAGUUCAUAAACAGUGGUAUGAAGCCGCUGAUUCCAUCAUUCAUCGAUUUGAUGGGAAUGUAUUCCAUUGCAGGCUUACAUGAGAAAAUGGAGACUACCUUUCUCCGUUGCCGUGAAGUCUGCGGUCCAAACCAGACGGUUUUUAAUAUUUAUUUGGAUUCCUUGGUGCAUACUGGCAAUCUGAACCGGGCUGAAGAAAUCUUCAAUGAAAUGCGUGGUGAUGUUGCAAUUAGUCUUGAUUCUCGUUCUUGCAACAGUAUUUUGAGAGGCUAUCUGACCUCUGGAGAGUAUGCAAAGGCAGAAAAGAUAUAUGGUUUGAUGCGCCAAAAGAAAUACGACAUUGAGAUUGAAUCUUCAUUGAUGGAAAAACUUGACUAUGUUCUAAGCUUGCGGGAGAAAGUAGUUGAAGAACCUAUUAAGCUGAAGCUCACAAAAGAACAGCGAGAGGUUUUGAUGGGGUUGCUUCUUGGGGGUUUGCAAAUUAGAUCAUAUGGAGAGAGGAGGAGGAGAGUACAUGCAAUCCAUUUUGAGUUCAAUGCAGAGUCGAGGAUCCACGCCAUUUUAAAGGGACACAUACACAAUGAAUUUCAUCAGUGGUUAGGCUCUCACGAUAUGAUGGUGGAUGGCACUGAUGAUAUUCCUAGUUCCUUUACUACCAUCUCACAUUCUUGUUUUACUUUCUAUGCUGAUCAAUUCUGGCCCAAUGGACGUCCUGGUAUACCAAAACUUAUACAUAGAUGGCUGUCACCUUGUGUUCUUGCUUAUUGGUAUAUGUAUGGCGGUUACAGGACAUCUUCUGGCGAUAUUCUAUUGAGAGUAAAGGGAAGUCGAGAGGAAGUUUUGAAUAUUGUUAAAGCGCUGAAAGACAAAUCAUUAGACUGCCGAGUAAAAAAGAGGGGGACGGUCUUUUGGAUUGGUUUUCUGGGGGACAAUGCUACAUGGUUCUGGACAGUGGUAAAGCCCUUUAUUCUUGGUGAAUUAAAGGAUCUCCUUAAAGCAGGUGGCUGCUCAAAUGGAUCCCUAGAAAACCAAAGAAUCAAUUUUUACAGUGGUUCGGGGUCUGACGAGAAGAAUUCAGAUUACAGCGAUGCUGACACGUCAUAGGGCCUCUUCUGAUUGAUGUACUGUUCUCUAUGCCUUUAUUGCAAGGUUUAAUAGGUUAUUUGAGGUUAAAAGUGUUGCUGCAGAAUUCUGGCUGAUAAGGUGCUCUAGUGGCUUCUUUUGAUAGAAUGACUGUCUCGGCAGAGAAUUUACCGAGUCAAUCAAAAUGGUGCAAAGUUCUUGCUAGCUAGUCUAGUAACCUGAUUCUCCAGUGAGGAAAAGAAGGUGACAAGAAUAAGGCAGUGAAGAAGUUAUCUGUCCUGAACUUAAUAGGCCGCUAUUUGACAAAUCAUCGAUGUCUCUUUCCACUCAUUCACUGCCACUGUGACUUGCUUUAAUGUGCCCAAAAUAAUUACUUCAUUGUUUUUCCACAUGUUUCUAAGCCUUCUCUACAGUUUGAUUAGUCAGAUUUAGAUAAGCCGCAGCUGUAAGAGAAACGACGCCAGAGAGGGUGGAUAUGAUUGCAUCAUCAAGUACCCUGGUAAAAGUUGAAAAUAGAUCGUCUCAUCUGAUGUUAUCAACAAAAUACAAGAUAUGAGCCACAGCUAGCACGAUUGGCUGGAAGUAAACCUUGUAGAAAAGUGAAUUGGAACAGAAGCCUAUAGACUCAAGCGACCAGGUCGGUGAAAACUAACCCCAGAUUCCAUGUGAGUUAUUAUCCACAUCAUAUACAUUUGACGAAUUGCACCAGAAUGCUAAAUUACAUAAGCAUUUAUAUUUUGGAAGAUGGACAGAUGAAACAUGUCUGGUUUCUUUAUUUCUGAAUUGCUUUAAAACACAUGCUGAAAUUCUUCUCCAUAUAAUAUUCUUCAACACUUGCAGCUACUAAGAAGUUCUGUUUUGAUUGAUAGCAUCGCCCGUUUUAUCCCAAAAAUGUUCAAGAAAAGGCUCCAAAGCUGUCCAGUAUCUGUAACAGUGCCUCCUUAUCAUAAUUAGAAUGAUUUUCAUUUGCUAAUAAUCUGAAGAGAUAAAUCUGGAAAAACGUUGUUGGGAAGUUGCUGAACUGGGUCGAUGAUCUUUCUAAUUAAAUCAUAGAUUAGAUUGCUAAAUGCUCAUUGUGGGUGGGGGUUUUGUUUAAUGUGGUUAUGGCAUGAGAAAAUUACUUGCUGAACCAUGCCCGUAUAUUUCUCCUGUAAAGUUGAUUAAUGUUUUAUAUCGAAUUACCUAGUAACUACUUAUAAUGGUAUCAAAUUCAAUUUUAAUUCAAACUUCAUAAUUGCCAUAAUAUAAACAAAAGCUUAUAAGGAAUGAUCAAGUUACAUUCAUAAUUUAUACACUGUAAAAGAAAAUUUCCAUAAGGAAAUGGGGGUGAAGUGAAAUGUACUAAAAGAAAGUUAAAUGAAUUUAAGUUUAUUUAUGAUACAACUCACAAAUGGUAUCCUUUUCAAUCUUAAAACUAAAAGGUGUGGUAAUUCAAAAUGUUAUAGGCGAUGUUGGCUUAUUGAAGAAUGAAUGACAAAUAGUUUAUUUUGCUUUUGAGGUCAAAUGAGUUAUAUAUAUCCUAAUCCUAUCAAAUAGACAAAUUAGGACUAAAAAUAAUUCAGAAGUGCACUAAAUAAACGAGGUCAAGUUCUGUCUGGGUCCCGUGAUAUUAUUAUCCUUUUGUCUCAAUAGUCGAUAGUUGGGUGGAUUUUUGUUUUAACGUGCUGUGCUGCAGGUAAAGAUCUAACUGCCACUAGUAAUAUUUUUAAGGAAAAUGGAGCAAUCUUCUAUUUCAAAUGCAAAAAGAUGCUCGUAAUCACACUUACAAGAAAACCGCAUGUAAGUUGUUUUUUGCUCAAAUAGUGUUUUUAGUCUUUAGAAUUCAUUAAAUAUACUUAUAUAAAUAUUAUAUGUAGAACUUAGUUCUAAAAUCCACAACUCAUAUGGUGUAGAAGAUUUGAUAGAUUGUACAAGUUGUGUUCUGUUAGGUCCAUAGACCUUAUUCUGCGGGAUGGAGACCUUCAAAUUAUUGAUUUGUGUCAUAAAAUAUUAGUGACUGGUGAAUAGACACCACACCACACUUUUUCCAGACGUUACUACUACUUUCUACCAGAAAUGAGAACAACAUAUCCAUUCGUU